RNAcentral lists this long non-coding RNA (1599 nucleotides) under Equus caballus (horse). Its description in RNAcentral is "lncRNA (ENSECAG00000055264.1)". The record is from RNAcentral. Lineage: Eukaryota; Metazoa; Chordata; Mammalia; Perissodactyla; Equidae.
UUCUUCUUCUCCCCAAAGGCCCCCCAGUACAAAGCUGUAUAUUCUAGUUGUAGGUCUUUCUAGUUGUGUUAUGUGGGAUGCUGCCUCAACACGACUUGAUGAGCAGUGCCAUGUCUGCACCCAGGAACGAACCAGCGAAACCCUGGGCCGCCGAAGCAAAGCCCGCAAACUUAAUCACUCAUCCAGGGGGCUGGCGCCACAUUUGUGCAUUGUUAACCAAGAAUCUGAUUUAACCAUUCACCGUUGGUGUGAUACAUUCCAAGGUUACUCCUUCAAGGCAACUGCAACAUCCCAAAGGACCUGAUAAUGACCUCCUUAAAAUACAACCAUCAAAGAAGAUAGUGCGCCUAUUUCCCAGCUUCUGUGGGCAGGAGUUGACAGCUGACACAUGAUGCAAGUUGGACUAAUCAGAGGGAAGCAGAGAAUUUGUUGAUGAUUAUGGGAAGAAAGGUGAACGAGGAAGCAGGUAGCCCAGGCGACUGUUGGGACCCAUCCUAAAACUCUGAUGAGAGCCACCAUACUGAAAGUUAGAGCUGGAAAUCUGGACAGACAAGUCCUGCUGGCAUUUUAAGCCUCUGAGCAGCCCGUCACCUAAGCCCUCUCGUACAUGAGCAGAAAAAUGUCCCUUUGUGAUUUAAGUCAGCUUGAGCUGAGUUUUCUCUUGUUUGCAAUUGAAAGUAUCCUAAUUUAUACAAGGACCUUAAUACAUACCAACUGGUUAACGUCUGGUUCCAAAGAGUUCACCCAUCCACUCAAAGGUAAGACAAAGACUGAAAGCCAGGGACUUGGAGUGCCAUCUGGAGACUUUUUGUUAACUUUCCACAGAAGGUCUCAAAAUUCUCAUUUUAAUCUCCAAUCACAAUUGUAGUUCCCUUUCAAACCUGUGUAUGAUGAUCCCAAACCCCUGUGUAAAACAGUUUGUUUUAUUAUUUGUUUCUCAGGAAAAAAAUUAAAAAAAAAAAUAAGGCAACUAUCUAUAUAAAAAUGAAACCCUUAAUAUGUCCUUGAAACUAUUGUUCUAUUGUCAAACAUCAGUUAAGUAUUUAAUCUGAACCAGGUUUUGUUCAAGAGAUUGGAACAGAAUACCCCUCACAGUCUGAUGAUAAGAAGUAAAGGAACAAGUAUAACAAGUAACAUAUAUAGCAAGUAAAUGAAUAUAUGAUUACAGUAGACAACUUAUAGACUCACUUGCCAAGGACCAUCUACCUCACUGACCUGCCAUAGUGCUCCUGGCUGCAUCUUCAAAACAAAGCCCUGGCAGAGUCAAGCCUUUUUUACCGACAAAGAAGGAUGACUUUAUUAGAGCAACAAGAAGCAGAGACUCUCAGAGCCUGAAGCAAAGGAACAGAGCGGACGGCCGAUGUGAGGAGGUAGACCCCAGGGGGUCCAUGAGGAAGGCAAGAGGAUAGUGAAGUCCUGUGGUCCUGGGGGAUGGAGGCACCUCGAGGGACCAAAGGAGAACAAAGGAAAUCCAAGUCAUUUGGUAGAAUUUACUUCUAGAAAGUAAUCAUGGAAAGAAAUGGGUGGAAAGUGGUUGGUUCUCACAGGUUAAUUCAGAAAACUUUAAGGGCAGACAAGGGUUUUAGCGAGUAAUAUAUA